RNAcentral lists this ribosomal RNA (497 nucleotides) under Schellackia sp. RNAcentral describes it as "SSU rRNA". It matches the Rfam family "Eukaryotic small subunit ribosomal RNA", at positions 426 to 927 of the family's 1831-position model. Lineage: Eukaryota; Apicomplexa; Conoidasida; Eucoccidiorida; Lankesterellidae. The record is from RNAcentral.
CAGCAGGCGCGCAAAUUACCCAAUGAAAACAGUUUCGAGGUAGUGACGAGAAAUAACAAUACAGGGCAUUUUAUGCUCUGUAAUUGGAAUGAUGGGAAUCUAAAACCCUUUCAGAGUAACAAUUGGAGGGCAAGUCUGGUGCCAGCAGCCGCGGUAAUUCCAGCUCCAAUAGCGUAUAUUAGAGUUGUUGCAGUUAAAAAGCUCGUAGUUGGAUUUCUGUCGUGGUCUUCCGGUUUCGCCCGUACGGGUGUUGACUUGGUUAGCCCUCGGCAUUCUUCCGGUCCCUUCCCCGCUUCAUUGCGUGGUAGGUUCCUCCGGAACUUUUACUUUGAGAAAAAUAGAGUGUUUCAAGCAGGCUUUCGCCUUGAAUACUUCAGCAUGGAAUAAUAAGAUAGGACUUUGGUUCUAUUUUGUUGGUUUCUAGGACUAAAGUAAUGAUUAAUAGGGACAGUUGGGGGCAUUCGUAUUUAACUGUCAGAGGUGAAAUUCUUAGAUUU